GUCCCAGUAGCGCAAUGGAUAACGCGUUGGACUUACAAUCCAAAGGUCGUGGGUUCGAAUCCCACCUGGGAUG
Molecule: transfer RNA, 73 nt
Filed under: Trichonephila inaurata madagascariensis
Lineage: Eukaryota; Metazoa; Arthropoda; Arachnida; Araneae; Nephilidae
Rfam family: tRNA
About the family: Transfer RNA (tRNA) molecules are approximately 80 nucleotides in length. Their secondary structure includes four short double-helical elements and three loops (D, anti-codon, and T loops).
Source: Rfam by way of RNAcentral